UACAAAGCACUACCUGGUCUUAGUAGUCGUUGCUGUCAACAGCACACCGCCAUCCAUCAACGCAGGGGAAGCCAUCUUCUACACAGACUGGGCGGGGACGUCCUUCGUUGUGUUCUCGGUGUCGGACUCGACGAUUCUCGAUGUAGCAGCAUGAUCUGACAUGAUUUUAUCACGUAUUUCAGGCACCUCAACCUCUACCGCCACUAGCACGACACAUUAGAAAUUGGAGACCACGUGCGACUCGAUCUAACCUGGAUACACAUCCGAUUUUUGUCCGUGCGACCAGACGUAACAAGCACGCUGCCAUACUGAUUAGCGGUACGCUGGUUGGCCUAUCUUUCCCGCUCUUCCACAUGGUCAACCUGUUGCUUGUAAGGGACCCGCUCGAGGUUGCCUUCAAGUCUCCGAGACCUACGCUGCCCGCGUACAUGACGCCUAUAGAGCCUCAGGUAGUGAAGUUCUACAACUCGCCUGUCGCCCUGGGUUCAGGUGCCGGUGCAGUGCUAACAGUACCCAUCGCUGCGUUGUGUGCAAAACUAAACACGUGG
This 548-nucleotide ribosomal RNA is filed under the name uncultured Nitrososphaerota archaeon. RNAcentral's name for it is "uncultured thaumarchaeote partial 16S ribosomal RNA". Lineage: Archaea; Thermoproteati; Nitrososphaerota. The record is from RNAcentral.